UUUUACGGAGAGUUUGAUCCUGGCUCAGGAUGAACGCUGGCGGCGUGCUUAACACAUGCAAGUCGAACGGUGAAGCAGAGCUUGCUCUGUGGAUCAGUGGCGAACGGGUGAGUAACACGUGAGCAACCUGCCCCGGACUCUGGGAUAAGCGCUGGAAACGGCGUCUAAUACCGGAUACGAGAUUCCACCGCAUGGUGAGUUUCUGGAAAGAUUUUUUGGUCUGGGAUGGGCUCACGGCCUAUCAGCUUGUUGGUGAG
Molecule: ribosomal RNA, 257 nt
Filed under: Microbacterium sp.
Lineage: Bacteria; Bacillati; Actinomycetota; Actinomycetes; Micrococcales; Microbacteriaceae
Description: partial 16S ribosomal RNA
Rfam family: Bacterial small subunit ribosomal RNA
Source: RNAcentral